This 198-nucleotide ribosomal RNA is filed under the name Triticum aestivum (bread wheat). RNAcentral's name for it is "partial small subunit ribosomal RNA". The record is from RNAcentral. Lineage: Eukaryota; Viridiplantae; Streptophyta; Magnoliopsida; Poales; Poaceae.
AUGAAGACAUACACGACGGUCAAGGACAAGCUCCUUUGUGAGUGUUGGAGGAACAUUGGGCAAGACCCCAAGGUCGGCGCCGAACAAAAGGCAUCAACCUUUUGGAUUCGUGUCGACCGUGAGUACCGUGAGCGCAAGAAGUUUGUGCCGUACCAAAUGCAAAGCACGCGCGGGUGGGUGUCCAUUUCGAAGCGAUGA